RNAcentral lists this ribosomal RNA (253 nucleotides) under uncultured bacterium. RNAcentral's name for it is "partial 16S ribosomal RNA". It matches the Rfam family "Bacterial small subunit ribosomal RNA", at positions 524 to 776 of the family's 1533-position model. The record is from RNAcentral.
UACGAAGGGUGCAAGCGUUACUCGGAAUUACUGGGCGUAAAGCGUGCGUAGGCGGUUUGUUAAGUCCGUUGUGAAAGCCCUGGGCUCAACCUGGGAAUUGCAGUGGAUACUGGCGAGCUAGAGUGCGGUAGAGGAUGGUGGAAUUCCCGGUGUAGCGGUGAAAUGCGUAGAUAUCAAGAGGAACACCUGCGGCGAAGGCGGGUUGCUGGGCCGACACUGACGCUGAGGCGCGAAAGCCAGGGGAGCGAACGGG